AAAAGAGAGAGAGAGAAAGAUGGAGAGAGAGAACCGGGAGUAGGGAGAAGAAGAGAGGGAGAGAGAGAAAGAGAGAGAGAUGGGGAGAGAGAGAAAGAGAGAAAGAGAGAGAGAGCCCGACAGAGAGAACUGAGAAGAAGGGGGAGAGAGGGGGAGAGAGAGAAAGAGAGAAAGAGAGAGAGAGCCCGACGGAGAGAACUGAGAAGGAGGGGGGCUGCUGUGGAGUCGA
RNAcentral lists this long non-coding RNA (229 nucleotides) under Ananas comosus (pineapple). RNAcentral's name for it is "long non-coding RNA (ACOM_LNC020151)". The record is from RNAcentral. Lineage: Eukaryota; Viridiplantae; Streptophyta; Magnoliopsida; Poales; Bromeliaceae.